CCAGCAGAGCCGGCUGUCGCUCUCGUGGGAACUCGGGAAGUGGUACAGGGCUCAUUGAUCAAGCCUUGACCAUUUCAUGGUUCCCGGGGAGCCCUCAGGAACGGCCGGGGAGUUGCUGCCGUCCCCCGGGACAACAGCGUCGGCCUCUGAGCACGGCCGAAGCGUGCCCGGGCAUUGUUAGGGGAAUGCUGUAGCUGACCAAGGGACCACAGCCCGGUGACUGCAGGAAAUUCCAGCGGGCAAGGUGGCCUUCCUUCACAGCCGACAUGGAUUCUCAUCCCUGGAUGUCCGAGAGAUGAGUCGAGGGCUGUGACACCCAGAGGGGUGAAAGCGAGGUGCUGGGAGGGCUUUUUGAGUAGUGGCUUAGGAGGCGGGGAUGUGCCAGAGGUGGUCCCUUAGGCCACAUGAAGGAAAAGUCUCACAGUGCUGAGGUGCUCAGGGCACAGCAGUCCCGGUGCAUGUCACUUGUGUCACUUGUCUGUCAUGCCUUCUGGGUCUUUUGGGUAUCUCCCGUUGCAUGACUUUUGCUUUAGUCCUUUGAGAGGCUUAUCAGAAACCCAGGUGUCCAUCUUUGCAUCUCAGAUCUCUCUGCUGCUCGGCCCAGUGCUGAUUCCUUCGCACCCUCGAGUCGGGAGCCUGGACAGGAAUUGGCAUAGCAUAUCUCUUUAGAAGCAUCCAGUCAGAUGUCUUUCAUGGUCUUGUUCUGAGCUGUUCUCAACAGCUGUGCACAGCAAUGAUCCAUCCUAGUGCAUUAGGACUUGUACUAGCGAUGAUAGCUAGAGGAUUCUUACCUGUGAGUGGGCAGCUGCCUCCUGAAAUUCCAAACUGUGUAUCAUGUCUCCCCAUCCCAACCACCAACCACCUCCAACACGCGCUGCCUUGACUGUCCCCUGCACCUCCUGCAAACUUCCAUCAAGAACCUGGGUUGGUGAGUUUGGUUUCCCAGGGAAGAGGAUGGCAUUUGUGUUCAUGGCCCUGAGGCCCUGAGUGGGUGGCCGC
Molecule: long non-coding RNA, 999 nt
Organism: Onychostruthus taczanowskii (white-rumped snowfinch)
Lineage: Eukaryota; Metazoa; Chordata; Aves; Passeriformes; Passeridae
Exons: 3
Source: RefSeq, a predicted model, not a curated record